CUAGUUCGUCCCACGGUUGUGUUUUCUGUCAUCAUGGAACCACCGGUAGCUGUUGUGUGUGCCUUAUAUGCGACACAGUGAAUGAUGACUGCAUUUCAUGUUUUGGCUAGAAGACAACACAUCCGCAGACAUCGAAUGCUAGCCAUCGGAGGAUAUCAGAGGACCUGAGCCCUAGGACCAUUCCUCAUGACUACCUGGCCUGAUGACUCCUUGCUGUCCACAGUCCAUCUGGUCGUGCUGCUGCUCCAGUUUCAACUGUUCUGUCUUCGGCUAUGGAACCCUGACCUGUUCACCAGACGUGCUACCAUGUCCUGGAACUGCUGUUUCAGCUCUGUCUCUCUACCGCACCUGCUGUCUCUAACUCUGAAUGAUCGGCUAUGAAAAGCCAACUGACAUUUACUCCUGAGGUGCCGACCUGUUACACCCUCUACAACCACUGUGAUUAUUAUUAUUUGACCCUGCUGGUCAUCUAUGAACGUUUGAACAUCUGGGCCAUGUACUGUUAUAAACUCCACCCGUCACAGCCAGAAGAGGACUGGCCACCCCUCAUAGCCUGGUUCCUCUCCAGGUUUCUUCCUAGGUUCCUGCCUUUCUAGGGAAUUUGUCCAAGUCACCGUGCUUCUACAUCUGCAUUGCUUGCUGUUUGGUGUUUUAGGCUGGGUUUCUGUAUAGCACUUUGUGACAUCGGCUGAUGUAAAAAGCGCUUCAUAAAUACAUUGGAUUGAUUGGAAAACAAAAGACUUACCCUCGAGGGAAUCCCUGCAGCCAUCUUUGCCGUCGGUCCAAACAAUUAGCCAAGCAAGGCAAGUUGGCAACGUAAGCCCUUCAGCCCUUGUUUGUGAUCGAGUUUGCGAGUGUACAAUUCUAUUCACUCCGGGGCCUGAAACGCCCCAUAAUUCAAUUUGUGAUGAUUAUACAUCCGCUAAGAAAAGUCUGCCAAAACAUGAAACUAACAUCAAUAUGGAGAGGUCAACAUACAAGUAUAAGUAAAAAUGAAUGUAAAUAAGUUAGAAAUUGUGCUACUAAUUCACGACAGCACAAGCACAUAUCGGAAAAGUAAUGAUGUUUUUGUUUGGUUAGCUUUUGGAAACGUUAGCUAGAGCAUACAACUUGUCCUGGCAUCACAUUUAUACAUUGUAGUUUUCGAUUUACCUGAUAUCCUCCGAUGGCU
This 1171-nucleotide long non-coding RNA is filed under the name Salmo salar (Atlantic salmon). RNAcentral's name for it is "lncRNA (ENSSSAG00000085115.1)". The record is from RNAcentral. Lineage: Eukaryota; Metazoa; Chordata; Actinopteri; Salmoniformes; Salmonidae.